Molecule: ribosomal RNA, 253 nt
Filed under: uncultured bacterium
Lineage: Bacteria
Description: partial 16S ribosomal RNA
Rfam family: Bacterial small subunit ribosomal RNA
Source: RNAcentral
AACGUAGGUGGCGAGCGUUAUCCGGAAUUACUGGGCGUAAAGCGUGUGCAGGCGGGCUGACAAGUGGUGUAUGAAAUAUCCCGGCUUAACCGGGAGGGGUUAUGCCAGACUGUCAGUCUUGAGUGCGAGAGAGGAGCGUGGAAUUCCGGGUGUAGUGGUGAAAUGCGUAGAUAUCGGGAGGAAUACCAGUGGCGAAGGCGGCUUCCUGGCCUGUUCUUGACGCUGAGGCGCGAAAGCUAGGGUAGCAAACGGG